This 494-nucleotide ribosomal RNA is filed under the name uncultured bacterium. RNAcentral's name for it is "partial 16S ribosomal RNA". It matches the Rfam family "Bacterial small subunit ribosomal RNA", at positions 28 to 507 of the family's 1533-position model. The record is from RNAcentral.
GACGAACGCUGGCGGCGUGCUUAACACAUGCAAGUCGAACGGUGAAGCGCCUUCCUUUUUGGUGGGUGUGGAUGAGUGGCGAACGGGUGAGUAACACGUGAGUAACCUGCCCCCUUCUUCUGGAUAACCGCAGGAAAGUGUGGCUAAUACGGGAUAUUCUGGGUCUGUCGCAUGAUGGGUCUGGGAAAGAUAUUGUUUCGGUGGGGGAUGGGCUCGCGUCCUAUCAGGUUGUUGGUGGGGUGAUGGCCUACCAAGGCGGUGACGGGUAGCCGGCAUGAGAGGGUGGGCGGUCACACAGGGACUGAGACGCCGCGAAGACUCCGGCGGGAGGCAGCGGGGGAGAAUGUUGCACGGUGGGAGGAAGGCUGAAGCCGUGCCGCCGCGUGAGGGAUGGAGUCCGUCGUGUAGUGAACCUCUUUCGCCAGUGAAGAGCGCCUGCCUCGUUUGUGGGUGGUUUGACGGUACCUAGAUAAGAAGCGCCGGCUAACUACGUG